This 253-nucleotide ribosomal RNA is filed under the name uncultured bacterium. RNAcentral's name for it is "partial 16S ribosomal RNA". It matches the Rfam family "Bacterial small subunit ribosomal RNA", at positions 524 to 776 of the family's 1533-position model. The record is from RNAcentral.
UACGGGGGGGGUAAGCGUUGUUCGGAUUCACUGGGCGUAAAGGGUGCGUAGGCGGUCGGGUAAGUCUGACGUGAAAUCUUCAAGCUCAACUUGGAAACUGCGUCCGAUACUAUUCGGCUAGAGGAAUGGAGGGGAGACUGGAAUACUUGGUGUAGCAGUGAAAUGCGUAGAUAUCAAGUGGAACACCAGUGGCGAAGGCGAGUCUCUGGACAUUUCCUGACGCUGAGGCACGAAAGCCAGGGGAGCAAACGGG